RNAcentral lists this long non-coding RNA (443 nucleotides) under Mus spicilegus (steppe mouse). RNAcentral describes it as "lncRNA (ENSMSIG00000005755.1)". Lineage: Eukaryota; Metazoa; Chordata; Mammalia; Rodentia; Muridae. The record is from RNAcentral.
CCGCCGCACAGAAUCUUCCAGGAGCCCCAGGCGCAGUUAGGAGGGGGGAUAUCGCGGCGGAAUAAGGAAACCGAGGCACGCAGACACCCCCGCCCCCGGGGGGAGAUUGCAACAAGGGCUCUUGAGCUGACUGCAAGGUGAAGCUUCCAUACAUUGCACAAAAGAUUCCCUCUUCAAUGAGAGAACAAGGGUGAGGGCGAGCAUUUGUGGCGGAGGCAUUCAGCCCACAGUUUGGCAGGGAGCAGCUGCUGGGUGACAGGCGGUUUCUACUUUAAAACAGUCACCAUUAUUACCACCGCUGCUGCAGAGAGGUGUCUAGGAGCUGGGAAGUUGUGAUCUCCCCGGCUCAGGAGGGAACCAAGCCGAGGCUGAGCAAAUCUGAGAUGGAAACUCAUGCUCUCCACUUCCUGAAAGCAGUCUGCCCCUGAGCCCCCUCGGAGUCU